AGGAGGAUGAAGUCCGCAGCGCACGAGUGGUUCACAGAUUUGAAGAGCUUGCUCAGAUAUUAGCAGGGGCAUUGCAAAGAGUGGCGAACGGGUGAGUAACACGUGGGAAACCUACCUCUUAGCAGGGGAUAACAUUUGGAAACAGAUGCUAAUACCGUAUAACAAUGACAACCGCAUGGUUGUUAUUUAAAAGAUGGUUCUGCUAUCACUAAGAGAUGGUCCCGCGGUGCAUUAGCUAGUUGGUAAGGUAAUGGCUUACCAAGGCGAUGAUGCAUAGCCGAGUUGAGAGACUGAUCGGCCACAAUGGGACUGAGACACGGCCCAUACUCCUACGGGAGGCAGCAGUAGGGAAUCUUCCACAAUGGGCGAAAGCCUGAUGGAGCAACGCCGCGUGUGUGAUGAAGGGUUUCGGCUCGUAAAACACUGUUGUAAGAGAAGAAUGACAUUGAGAGUAACUGUUCAAUGUGUGACGGUAUCUUACCAGAAAGGAACGGCUAAAUACGUGCCAGCCAGCCGCGGUAAUACGUAUCUUCCAAGCGUUAUCCGGAUUUAUUGGGCGUAAAGCGAGCGCAGACUGGUUAUUUAAGUCUGAAGUGAAAGCCCUCAGCUCAACUGAGGAAUUGCUUUGGAAACUGGAUGACUUGAGUGCAGUAGAGGAAAGUGGAACUCCAUGUGUAGCGGUGAAAUGCGUAGAUAUAUGGAAGAACACCAGUGGCGAAGGCGGCUUUCUGGACUGUAACUGACGUUGAGGCUCGAAAGUGUGGGUAGCAAACAGGAUUAGAUACCCUGGUAGUCCACACCGUAAACGAUGAGUGCUAGGUGUUUGAGGGUUUCCGCCCUUAAGUGCCGCAGCUAACGCAUUAAGCACUCCGCCUGGGGAGUACGACCGCAAGGUUGAAACUCAAAGGAAUUGACGGGGACCCGCACAAGCGGUGGAGCAUGUGGUUUAAUGCGAAGCAACGCGAAGAACCUUACAAGGUCUUGACAUCCCUUGACAACUCCAGAGAUGGAGCGUUCCCUUCGGGGACAAGGUGACAGGUGGUGCAUGGUUGUCGUCAGCUCGUGUCGUGAGAUGUUGGGUUAAGUCCCGCAACGAGCGCAACCCUUAUUACUAGUUGCCAGCAUUCAGUUGGGCACUCUAGUGAGACUGCCGGUGACAAACCGGAGGAAGGUGGGGAUGACGUCAAAUCAUCAUGCCCCUUAUGACCUGGGCUACACACGUGCUACAAUGGCGUAUACAACGAGUUGCCAACCCGCGAGGGUGAGCUAAUCUCUUAAAGUACGUCUCAGUUCGGAUUGUAGGCUGCAACUCGCCUACAUGAAGUCGGAAUCGCUGUAAUCGCGGAUCAGCACGCCGCGGUGAAUACGUUCCCGGGUCUUGUACACACCUCCCUUCACACCAUGAGAGUUUGUUACACCCAAAGCUAGGUGGGGUAACUCUUUCGGGGACCCCCCAACCC
RNAcentral lists this ribosomal RNA (1460 nucleotides) under Weissella confusa. RNAcentral's name for it is "bacterial SSU rRNA". It matches the Rfam family "Bacterial small subunit ribosomal RNA". The record is from RNAcentral. Lineage: Bacteria; Bacillati; Bacillota; Bacilli; Lactobacillales; Lactobacillaceae.